This 465-nucleotide ribosomal RNA is filed under the name uncultured bacterium. RNAcentral's name for it is "partial 16S ribosomal RNA". It matches the Rfam family "Bacterial small subunit ribosomal RNA", at positions 29 to 507 of the family's 1533-position model. The record is from RNAcentral.
ACGAACGCUGGCGGCGUGCUUAACACCUGCAAGUCGAACGGAAAGGCCCUGCUUGCAGGGUACUCGAGUGGCGAACGGGUGAGUAACACGUGGGUGAUCUGCCCUGCACUUCGGGAUAAGCUUGGGAAACUGGGUCUAAUACCGGAUAGGAGCCAUCUUUAGUGUGGUGGUUGGAAAGUUUUUUCGGUGUAGGAUGAGCUCGCGGCCUAUCAGCUUGUUGGUGGGGUAAUGGCCUACCAAGGCGGCGACGGGUAGCCGGCCUGAGAGGGUGUACGGCCACAUUGGGACUGAGAUACGGCCCAGACUCCUACGGGAGGCAGCAGUGGGGAAUAUUGCACAAUGGGCGCAAGCCUGAUGCAGCGACGCCGCGUGGGGGAUGAAGGCAUUCGGGUUGUAAACUCCUUUCGCUAGGGACGAAGCUUUUUUGUGACGGUACCUAGAUAAGAAGCACCGGCUAACUACGUG